GCCCCUGUAGCUUAGUGGUAAAGCAUCCGUUUCGUAAGCGGAAGAUCAGGAGUUCAAAUCUCCUUUUGGGCA
This 72-nucleotide transfer RNA is filed under the name Hemiselmis andersenii. RNAcentral describes it as "tRNA-Thr". It matches the Rfam family "tRNA". From Rfam's summary of the family: Transfer RNA (tRNA) molecules are approximately 80 nucleotides in length. Their secondary structure includes four short double-helical elements and three loops (D, anti-codon, and T loops). Further hydrogen bonds mediate the characteristic L-shaped molecular structure. tRNAs have two regions of fundamental functional importance: the anti-codon, which is responsible for specific mRNA codon recognition, and the 3' end, to which the tRNAs corresponding amino acid is attached (by aminoacyl-tRNA synthetases). tRNAs cope with the degeneracy of the genetic code in two manners: having more than one tRNA (with a specific anti-codon) for a particular amino acid; and 'wobble' base-pairing, i.e. permitting non-standard base-pairing at the 3rd anti-codon position. The record is from RNAcentral. Lineage: Eukaryota; Cryptophyceae; Cryptomonadales; Hemiselmidaceae.